AGUGAACGCUGGCGGUAGGCCUAACACAUGCAAGUCGAACGGCAGCACAGUAAGAGCUUGCUCUUACGGGUGGCGAGUGGCGGACGGGUGAGGAAUACAUCGGAAUCUACUUUUUCGUGGGGGAUAACGUAGGGAAACUUACGCUAAUACCGCAUACGACCUACGGGCGAAAGCAGGGGAUCUUCGGACCUUGCGCGAUUGAAUGAGUCGAUGUCGGAUUAGCUAGUUGGCGGGGUAAAGGCCCACCAAGGCGACGAUCCGUAGCUGGUCUGAGAGGAUGAUCAGCCACACUGGAACUGAGACACGGUCCAGACUCCUACGGGAGGCAGCAGUGGGGAAUAUUGGACAAUGGGCGCAAGCCUGAUCCAGCCAUACCGCGUGGGUGAAGAAGGCCUUCGGGUUGUAAAGCCCUUUUGUUGGGAAAGAAAAGCAGCAGGUUAAUACCCCGCUGUUCUGACGGUACCCAAAGAAUAAGCACCGGCUAACUUCGUG
Molecule: ribosomal RNA, 492 nt
Filed under: uncultured bacterium
Lineage: Bacteria
Description: partial 16S ribosomal RNA
Rfam family: Bacterial small subunit ribosomal RNA
Source: RNAcentral